RNAcentral lists this transfer RNA (73 nucleotides) under Cordylochernes scorpioides. RNAcentral describes it as "tRNA-Phe". The record is from RNAcentral. Lineage: Eukaryota; Metazoa; Arthropoda; Arachnida; Pseudoscorpiones; Chernetidae.
UGCCGAAACCCAGGACCGAACCAGGGACCUUUAGAUCUUCAGUCUAACGCUUUCCCAACUGAGCUAUUUCGGU